Molecule: long non-coding RNA, 1482 nt
Filed under: Anser brachyrhynchus (Pink-footed goose)
Lineage: Eukaryota; Metazoa; Chordata; Aves; Anseriformes; Anatidae
Description: lncRNA (ENSABRG00000011484.1)
Source: RNAcentral
GCUGGCUUUAGUUCAUGAGCUCCCAGGGCUGUUUUAUGCCCACAAGGAAACAUUUAGGACCACUAGAAAAAUAUUUAUCCAUAAAGAUCAACACCAUCAAAUAUCCUCCCCAGCACACACGACCUGCCUACACAGCCCCAGCCCACACCUCCCGUCACCAUCCUGACUACUGGGACAUCCCUGGGGACAGGAGCGGGGAAGAUCUGAGAUUACACAUUAGCCAGGCCAGCCGCACCAAGGUCCCUGGUAAUAGGAAGGUUACAAGACAGCAGUCGGUCAUGCUGUUAAUGUGUAACGCUCGUGCCACCUUUACCUCGCUUUCCGCUCGCCUGCUUUGUGGUGUCAGCAUCUGCCAGAAGCUGCAGGGAGCCCAAGGAGGGGCUUCUCAACCUGCUGAAGUUCAUCUUCGCCAGCACGCUCGGAGACCCUUCACGGGCAAGUCCUGGUCUUGUGGCACCUGCUGGUGCUGGUGUAAACCUUGGGGCCUCCUCUUCCCCCUUGUUCCUGGUUGCAGACCCUCCCACCCCUCUCCACCAGCCAGCAUCCCACAUAUGUGUGUGUGCCUAGUCUGUUUCCUCUGUUCUAUUUCUGUCCUAUUCCACUCCACGAAGCUUUGAAAGUCCAUUGACCGCUGGAUUAGGCUGAGAGCUCAAACACACACAGCCCCACCAGCUUUGUGAAAAUGGGUGGAUGGCCAGGGCUGAGCUACCAAAAUCUGGUGGAAAUAUCUUUUUCUGGUGGCAAGGUCAUGCCAGGGACUUGCUGCUGCGGCCGGCAGGGCCAGUGCUGGCGCUCAGCUUGAAGGCGCAGGGCUGCAGGGCCUGGCUUUGUCGGGCAGCGUCCCACUGGCGCGAGCUACGCUGCUUUAUCGGGGGCACAGCUCAGCCUGCCUUAUCACUGGGUUUGCAUCUGGUUUCCAUGGAAACUAAAGAAAACAGGCAGCAAGCCCCCUCCAAAAACAACUUUGAACAGCCCUUCCAGUAUCAUACUGUCACUUCGGAUGUGUCACGUUUUUCCCAGAAAGUGUGUGCAAGUAUGAACAGACUGGUACCUACUUGUCCUGACAGGCCCGCCGAGAGCUGGAUCCUUCUAAAGCAUCUUCCACGGCAAUUCUUAGCCAAACAUCACAAGUGCAAAUGGCAUACAAAAACCUGGGUGCACACAGAAAAAAAAAAUGAGAUUAGCUACAGAGAGAAGGAAAUGGAUGGAUGGGCUGUUAAGAGGAGAGAAGAAACCAGUUCCAGUGGGAAAUCCAUGAACCAGAGCCAAGGAGCCAUCCUGGGGAGCAGGCCAGAUUGCGCUGUGUGUUCAAACCAGCAGUGACGACCCAUGGCCAUCUGUUCAUCACAGCAACAAUUCCUGGUGGCCCUACAAACAAAUCAAUAUUCGAAAAGUCUCCUCACCUGUGAAACACACCACGCAAUAAGCCCCCCAGGCAGGUUUUACUCACCAAUAAAGACUCAAAUCACAUGGUUAAGUGCA